GUGCUCACUUCAACAGCACAUAUACCAAAAUUGGAAUGAUACUGAAAAGAUUACCAUGGCCCUUGCCCAAAGAUGGCACAGAAAUUCUUGAAGUGUCCACAUUUUGU
Bison bison bison is the source of this 107-nucleotide small nuclear RNA. The record is from Ensembl. NCBI's taxonomy places the organism in Eukaryota, Metazoa, Chordata, Mammalia, Artiodactyla, Bovidae.